GAGUAGACCCAGUAACAGGACAAUAACGAGAUGGUUGUUUCUCUUCACACUCAUGAGCAUUUCGACCAACUUUCAUCUUCAGGUCUUCAGGUGAACACCUAAAUGUUUGGUAAGAUAGAAACGAAAGAUGCCCUUUCGAUCCGCGGUGAACCCGUCGAGGAGUCUGCUUGGAGGACCUUGUUCGCGAACGUUAAUGGCUGCACACGCCAGCUGUGACACUACUGACUUCCCCUUGCCCCAUUAGUUACGUUGGCCCAACUGACCCCGCGCGGUCGCUAGUUGCGCCAUCUGCAAAUGCAUCAACGGAUCAGGGAACGGAAAAGCUUGGCACAGCGCAGGUGACGGAGUCAAGGGGAACAGCGGAAAACGACUGGUAGAAGCAGCACAAUAAACAACGGCAGGACGAUACACGUCAACGCAACAUCCUACAACGACGACUACUGGCUCACUGAACGACGAAAGAAAGAAGCACAUACGAGAUAAGCGUGAAAAAUGUCCCUGUGUGUCAUGUGCCCCAGCAGACAAGAAGGCCGUGCCUGUUUCGCCUGGAACUCGCAGCCGUGUGUAUCUCCCGCUAAACGAUAAAAGGAUCCUAGUAGCGUGGGCGAUGGCAGCAGCAGUAGCAGCGACUAAAGCAUGAACAAUCGCAGGCAACAAGCAUUGUUUAGUUAAUAACUGGGAUCGCUGAAGUCAGAGAACAACGGCAGCGUCCGGCUUACGUUCCUGCUGGUCGCUAUAGCUGUGCGCGUAUUCGCACGUACCGUCGGAUUUACAAGACAUAAACAGUGGAUCAUUGUGAUGCUGGUGUUGAUAGUUGUGAGGCGAUGAGGAAGAACAAUAUAUGAGACAGGCAUAAGACAAAAGAUGAACUCCACAGGGCUAUCACUUGGGGAGGGUAUACGUUAAAGGGUUAUGUCGA
Molecule: long non-coding RNA, 919 nt
Organism: Varroa destructor (honeybee mite)
Lineage: Eukaryota; Metazoa; Arthropoda; Arachnida; Mesostigmata; Varroidae
Source: RefSeq, a predicted model, not a curated record